RNAcentral lists this long non-coding RNA (270 nucleotides) under Mytilus galloprovincialis (Mediterranean mussel). The record is from RNAcentral. Lineage: Eukaryota; Metazoa; Mollusca; Bivalvia; Mytilida; Mytilidae.
UGGCUCGUUUAAUUUUCAUAAAAUUUUGAUAAAGUAUUUUCUUUGACCCUUUAACAGAAAUAUAAAGAUUUCAAAAAUUUUUAACCAACAGUUUUGUCAGAAAAAUUACAGUAUACUGGACGUAUAUAGGGCAGCUGAAGGUUAUAUAGUUUAGUUUGACAAACACCAUUUUUGAUCAUUGAAAAGCUUAAUAUUCCCUUUACAACACAACGUAAUUAAAACGUUAAGCUGAUUUUACAGAGUUAUCUCCCUGUAGUGUUAGGUACCACC